This 73-nucleotide transfer RNA is filed under the name Operophtera brumata (winter moth). It matches the Rfam family "tRNA". From Rfam's summary of the family: Transfer RNA (tRNA) molecules are approximately 80 nucleotides in length. Their secondary structure includes four short double-helical elements and three loops (D, anti-codon, and T loops). Lineage: Eukaryota; Metazoa; Arthropoda; Insecta; Lepidoptera; Geometridae. The record is from Rfam by way of RNAcentral.
CGUUCCAUGGCUAAAGUGGUCAUGGCAUUGCCGAUUAAAGGCGAAGAUGCGGGUUCGAGUCCCGCUGGAACGG